CGAACGAUGAAGCCCAGCUUGCUGGGUGGAUUAGUGGCGAACGGGUGAGUAACACGUGAGUAACCUGCCCUUGACUCUGGGAUAAGCGUUGGAAACGACGUCUAAUACCGGAUACGAGCUUCCACCGCAUGGUGAGUUGCUGGAAAGAAUUUUGGUCAAGGAUGGACUCGCGGCCUAUCAGCUAGUUGGUGAGGUAACGGCUCACCAAGGCGACGACGGGUAGCCGGCCUGAGAGGGUGACCGGCCACACUGGGACUGAGACACGGCCCAGACUCCUACGGGAGGCAGCAGUGGGGAAUAUUGCACAAUGGGCGAAAGCCUGAUGCAGCAACGCCGCGUGAGGGACGACGGCCUUCGGGUUGUAAACCUCUUUUAGCAGGGAAGAAGCGAAAGUGACGGUACCUGCAGAAAAAGCACCGGCUAACUACGUGCCAGCAGCCGCGGUAAUACGUAGGGUGCAAGCGUUGUCCGGAAUUAUUGGGCGUAAAGAGCUCGUAGGCGGUUUGUCGCGUCUGCUGUGAAAUCCCGAGGCUCAACCUCGGGUCUGCAGUGGGUACGGGCAGACUAGAGUGCGGUAGGGGAGAUUGGAAUUCCUGGUGUAGCGGUGGAAUGCGCAGAUAUCAGGAGGAACACCGAUGGCGAAGGCAGAUCUCUGGGCCGCUACUGACGCUGAGGAGCGAAAGGGUGGGGAGCAAACAGGCUUAGAUACCCUGGUAGUCCACCCCGUAAACGUUGGGCGCUAGAUGUGGGGACCAUUCCACGGUUUCCGUGUCGUAGCUAACGCAUUAAGCGCCCCGCCUGGGGAGUACGGCCGCAAGGCUAAAACUCAAAGGAAUUGACGGGGGCC
Molecule: ribosomal RNA, 847 nt
Filed under: Plantibacter flavus
Lineage: Bacteria; Bacillati; Actinomycetota; Actinomycetes; Micrococcales; Microbacteriaceae
Description: bacterial SSU rRNA
Rfam family: Bacterial small subunit ribosomal RNA
Source: RNAcentral